GACGAACGCUGGCGGCGUGCCUAACACAUGCAAGUCGAGCGGAGAUGAUGUGAGGAAGUUUUCGGAUGGAAUCACAUUAUUUUAGCGGCGGACGGGUGAGUAACGCGUGAGCGACCAACCUUGCACAGGGGGGAUAACGGACCGAAAGGUUCACUAAUACCGCAUGAGACCACGGUGUUGCAUGACACAGGGGUCAAAGGAGGAAUCCGGUGCAAGACGGGCUCGCGUCCGAUUAGGUAGUUGGAGGGGUAACGGCCCACCAAGCCUAUGAUCGGUAGCCGACCUGAGAGGGUGAUCGGCCACAUUGGAACUGAGAUACGGUCCAAACUCCUACGGGAGGCAGCAGUGGGGAAUAUUGGGCAAUGGGGGAAACCCUGACCCAGCAACGCCGCGUGAAGGAAGAAGGUUUUCGGAUUGUAAACUUCUGUCCUUGGUGAAGAGAAGAAGACGGUAGCCAAGGAGGAAGCCCCGGCUAACUACGUG
RNAcentral lists this ribosomal RNA (483 nucleotides) under uncultured bacterium. Its description in RNAcentral is "bacterial SSU rRNA". It matches the Rfam family "Bacterial small subunit ribosomal RNA", at positions 28 to 507 of the family's 1533-position model. The record is from RNAcentral.